Molecule: long non-coding RNA, 306 nt
Organism: Humulus lupulus (European hop)
Lineage: Eukaryota; Viridiplantae; Streptophyta; Magnoliopsida; Rosales; Cannabaceae
Exons: 3
Source: RefSeq, a predicted model, not a curated record
AGUUAUUAUCUACAACUUAUGGGCUAAUGAUGACGAGAUUGUAGAGUUAUACUUCGAUACAGAUCCUAAGGGAGGAUACUUUUGAAAGGAGACAACAUAACUCUGAUGAUGAAUUCGGGAAAAUGAUGGUCAUGUCACUAUUUGGAUUGAUUGGGGCUUACAGUGUUGUUCCCGUAGCAUAGCAUGUAUGUUGAGUUAAUUUACAGUUACUAUUUCGACUGCUUGGUUUGAGUACAUUUUGGAUAGCAUGUAGGAGAACUCAUUGAAUGUUGAUUUUAUAUGCCUAUAAGUAGAUGAGUUGUUGCA